GACGGCGCGGUCAUUUUCAAGCCUGACUAUCCCCUCGCCUUUUACUAGGGGAUACCGUGCGAGUGGUCGAUACAACGCCGUCUAUGGCAAUUUUUCAGAACAAUGUUCUCUCUGAACAUC
RNAcentral lists this small nuclear RNA (120 nucleotides) under Fistulina hepatica ATCC 64428. RNAcentral's name for it is "U5 spliceosomal RNA". It matches the Rfam family "U5 spliceosomal RNA". From Rfam's summary of the family: U5 RNA is a component of both types of known spliceosome. The precise function of this molecule is unknown, though it is known that the 5' loop is required for splice site selection and p220 binding, and that both the 3' stem-loop and the Sm site are important for Sm protein binding and cap methylation. Lineage: Eukaryota; Fungi; Basidiomycota; Agaricomycetes; Agaricales; Fistulinaceae. The record is from Rfam by way of RNAcentral.